This is a long non-coding RNA of Acipenser ruthenus (sterlet), 2496 nucleotides long. RefSeq lists it as uncharacterized. The record is from RefSeq and is a predicted model, not a curated record. Lineage: Eukaryota; Metazoa; Chordata; Actinopteri; Acipenseriformes; Acipenseridae. The transcript has 3 exons.
GUCUGACGUCACGGCAGAAGAAGGGACCACAACAACAAAAAGGUUCCCAUUUGAGGAGAGAAAAUACCUGGUAUGCUGUGAGACAGAGGUGUCCAACAAAGGCCGGUAGUCGAAAGACCCCCCGUGGUAAUCUUAGCUCCAAAUGCUGUGGCUACAACGUGGUUUAAUAAGAUUUGUUUGCAGUCUGGAAAGUGUAGGGAGAGAUGAGGAUCUGGAGGUAGCUGGGUGCAGUCUGGUCAAGGCAUCUGUAGGCGAGUACAAGAGUCUUGAACUGGAUGCAAGCGGUGAUCGGGAGCCAGUGGAGUGAGCGGAGCAAUGGAGUAGCGUGGGAGAAGCGAGGCAGAGAGAACACCAGGCGAGCAGCGGAGUUCUGAAUGAGCUGAAGCGGACGGGUUGCGGACGCAAGGAGGCCGGCCAGGAGGGAGUUAGAACAUAAGGACAUAAGAACAUAAGAACUUAAGAACAUAAGAAAGUUUACAAACAAGAGGAGGCCAUUCAGCCCAUCUUGCUCGUUUGGUUGUUAGUAGCUUAUUGAUCCCAGAAUCUCAUCAAGCAGCUUGAAGGAUCCCAGGGUGUCAGCUUCAACAACAUUACUGGGGAGUUGGUUCCAUGCCCUCACAAUUCUCUGUGUAAAAAAGUGCCUCCUAUUUUCUGUUCUGAAUGCCACUUUAUCUAAUCUCCAUUUGUGACCCCUGGUCCUUGUUUCUUUUUUCAGGUAAAAAAAGUCCCCUGGGUUGACAUUGUCUAUACCUUUUAGGAUUUUGAAUGCUUGAAUCAGAUCACCGCGUAGUCUUCUUUGUUCAAAACUGAAUAGAUUCAACUCUUCCUGUCUGCAUACGACAUGCCUUUUAAACCCGGGAUAAUUCUGGUUGCUCUUCUUUGCACUCUUUCUAGAGCAGCAAUAUCCUUUUUGUAACGAGGUGACCAGAACUGAACACAAUAUUCUAAGUGAGGUCUUACUAAUGCAUUGUAAAGUUUUAACAUUACUUCCCUUGAUUUAAAUUCAGCACUUCUCACAAUAUAUCCAAGCAUCUUGUUGGCCUUUUUUAUAGUUUCCCCACAUUGUCUAGAUUAAGACAUUUCUGAGUCAACAUAAACUCCUAGGUCUUUUUCAUGGAUUCUUUCUUCAAUUUUAGUAUCUCCCAUAUGAUAUUUAUAAUGCACAUUUUAUUGCCUGCGUGCAGUACUUUACACUUUUCUCUAUUAAAUGUCAUUUGCCAUGCGUCUGCCCGGUUCUGAAUGCGGUCUAGAUCAUUUUUAAUGAACUUUGUUGCUGCAACAGUGUUUGCCACUCCUCCUAUUUUUGUGUCAUCUGCAAAUUUAACAAGUUUGCUUACUAUACCAGAAUCUAAAUCAUUAAUGUAGAUUAGGAAUAGCAGAGGACCUAAUACUGAUCCCUGUGGUACUCCACUGGUUACCUCGCUCCAUUUUGAGAUUUCUCCUCUUAUCAGUACUUUCUGUUUUCUACAUGUUAACCACUCCCUAAUCCAUGUGCAUGCAUUUCCUUGAAUCCCUACUGCGUUCAGUUUGAGAAUUAAUCUUUUAUACAGGACUUUGGCAAAAGCUUUCUGGAAAUCUAAAUAAACCAUGUUGUAUGCUUUGCAAUAAUCCAUUGUCGAUGUUGCAUCCUAAAAAAAAUCAGGUAGGUUAGUUAGACAUGAUUCCCCUUUCCUAAAACCAUGCUGACUGUCUCCCAGGAUAUUGUUACCAUAUAGGUAAUUUUCCAUUUUGGAUCUUAUUAUAGUUUCCAUAAGUUUACAUAUAAUAGAAGUCAGGCUUAUUGGUCUGUAGUUACCUGGUUCGGUUUUGUCUCCCUUUUUGUGGAGUUGCAGUAGUCUAGGUGGGAGAGUACCAGGGCUUGGACGAGGAGUUGCAUGGUGUAGUUGGUGAGGAAGGGUCAGAUUCUUUGUAUGUUGCUCAGGAAGAAUCGGCAGGUGCGUGCGAGAGUGGAGAUGUGCUGGGAGUAGGAGAGGCAGUGGUCCAGGGUUACUCUAAGGUUCUUGGCUGAAGAGGAAGGAGAGAGCGUGGUAGAUUCCAUAGGAAUGUAGAUAGAGAGAGUAGAGGAGGGGGAAGAUGAAGAGCGGAAGAAAAGAUUGUCAGAUUUAGAGCUUGAGUUUGAGGUAAUGCGAGUGCAUCCAGGAGGAGAUAGCAGACAGACAGGUAGAGAUACGGGAGUGGAUGGUGGGGUCAGAGGGGGGGAAGGCGAGGAAGAUCUCAGCGUCAUCAGCAUAGAAAUUACAUUUUGAAAAAUGUCAAAUUUUUCUAUUUUUGUCAGUUUUUCGUUACGUAUAUGUAUUUAAAUAUGUUAGCGUAACAUUAUUCAGCAAAUGUGAUAAUUCUAUAGGGUGAGUAAUAACAUGCAUGGGAAGAGUGCUGGGCACCAGUAAAGCCCCACCGGCUGUGAAAUGACAUUAAAGUGUGGUUUAGAAAUAAGUAGCAGUACUUUAGAUGCAAACCUUGCGUUGGAUUGGAUUAGGACAGUUGCGCAAUCUUUUA